CAGGCCCCGAGAAGCACAAGUACGACCCUGAAUAUAGGAUCUUUGCAUGCUUUUUACCUCUAUGAACUAGUUUAUGGAAAAGCUCAAGCUUUUAUAGGAGGGACACAUUUAUUUAUUUGAAUUUUGGUCUACAACAUAUUCAGACUCUAAGUACAUUGUGAUUUCUAUGUUGUUAGAUUCAUCUUUAAUAACACUAAUAGAGUUAAUUACUUUACAAGUCAAUUAUGUUAAUCAGGGCUCUAACAGAGAUUCAAUCUCAACAACCCUUAAAGUGGAAUUUCUUGAUAUUAUCUGAAACCAUGAAAAAAUAGAUGGCCUGUCUUGUAAUGCUGUGCCAUUCCAGACACUUUCGGUAGCUGAUUUGCGUGAACCGGAGAUAUCUUCCCUUAUAGCAACCAAAAUGAAGGAAUUCAAUGAUCUUCAAAUGCCAGUAGGUGAUUUCAUGUCUACAAGAAUUUUACCGACAAAAUACUAGGUGAAAAAAAAUGUAGAUGUUUAAAUCUGAAUUGUUCUUUUUGAAUUUUAGUUCAAGGAAAACUAUAUUUGGUGAAUACAAGCACAUCACUGAAAGAUUCCUAUACUAAAUUUUCUAUCUUUGAUACCAAGGUAAUUUAAAAUUGAAAGAUUUCAAAUUUAAGUAAUGUUUGGACAAAUUCACUGAAUGAGGUAGUUGUUCCACUCUUCUUUUCCUCAUGUCUUGUAAUAGAAAUAUGGAAUUUGUGGUUAUAUUUGGUUAAGUGGUUAAUAUUUAUUCAUUAUCUUCAUUAGAGAACAUGGGUGAUCAUAGAGGUAAGAAUAUGGAAACAAUGUCAUGGUCCAAUCAGAACGAACAUUUUUUUAUCGAAAUACUUUACAAUAAUAUGAAAGCAGGGAAGUUGCAGUGUUCUACGUUCACAAAAGACGAUUGGAGUAAGAUCAAUCAAGAGAUGAUUGUUGCCCCAAAAUCUGAUUACGGGAUAGAGACAAUGAAGGGUAAGUGGAACCGUUUACGUAAGGUGUAUCACUUGUUCUUUGACCUUUUAGGGCAUACGAGUGUUACAUGGGAUCCAAAAACCAACCGAGUGAAUGCUAGAGAAGAAGUUUGGCAACAUUUUUUUACAGUAUGUGUUGUAAAAGAAACUUUUUAGCAUUACUAAUUUAUGAUAUCAUUUUUUGUUUAACAUUUUGCUAUAAAGAUAAACAAGAGUGAUUAUAUGACAUCUAGGAGGGAAGGAUGUAAGCAUUACGAAUUGCUUGGAGAGAUUUUUAGAGGGACUAAAAUUACUAGAGGUCUAGGCAAUGCUUCUACUCAGCUUUCUCCAAUGUCAGACGAAGAAAGACGGCUAGAAGAUGAGUUUCUGAGAAGGGGAGUGCAUGUACAUGUGGAAAAUGAUGAUGAUGAAGUCUCAAAUAUUCGUCGACGUGAUGAUACUACACCUAACAAACGUCGACGUAAGGAACUCAAAAUCAGUAAAGGUGAAAAACUUGAGGAAUGUAUGGGACAAUGGUCAUCUAUUGUUACUAUGAAGAAUGAGGAAACAUGACUCAGGAUGCUAUACCUUAAAGAAAAGCUUGCACGCAUCCAAGAAAAUUCAUCUAAUCAUGAGGACACUAGUGAAGUCACUAGUCCAUAUCCUUAUUCAAAUAUGGCAUGUUUGAACAUCUUAAACAACAUGGAAAGAGUGUCUAACGAGGUUUAUAUGAAAGCAAUAAAGGCUUUUAAGGAUCCAGAUUUCAAGAUGACAUUUGUAAUGAUGCCAGAAAUUAGGAGAGGACCUAUCUUGGAACUUCUUUGAUUUGUCUAACUGGAGUAUUUUGAAUUUAUAAUGUAGGAUUGUGUUCUUUUUAUAUAUUGGCU
Molecule: long non-coding RNA, 1837 nt
Filed under: Olea europaea subsp. europaea
Lineage: Eukaryota; Viridiplantae; Streptophyta; Magnoliopsida; Lamiales; Oleaceae
Source: RNAcentral